AUUGAACGCUGGCGGCAUGCUUUACACAUGCAAGUCGAACGGUAACAGGCCGCAAGGUGCUGACGAGUGGCGCACGGGUGAGUAAUGCAUCGGAACGUGCACAGUCGUGGGGGAUAACUACUCGAAAGAGUAGCUAAUACCGCAUACGAUCUAUGGAUGAAAGCGGGGGACCGUAAGGCCUCGCGCGAUUGGAGCGGCCGAUGUCAGAUUAGGUAGUUGGUGGGGUAAAGGCUCACCAAGCCAACGAUCUGUAGCUGGUCUGAGAGGACGACCAGCCACACUGGGACUGAGACACGGCCCAGACUCCUACGGGAGGCAGCAGUGGGGAAUUUUGGACAAUGGGCGCAAGCCUGAUCCAGCAAUGCCGCGUGCAGGAAGAAGGCCUUCGGGUUGUAAACUGCUUUUGUACGGAACGAAACGGCUCUGGUUAAUACCCGGGGCUAAUGACGGUACCGUAAGAAUAAGCACCGGCUAACUACGUG
This 482-nucleotide ribosomal RNA is filed under the name uncultured bacterium. RNAcentral's name for it is "partial 16S ribosomal RNA". It matches the Rfam family "Bacterial small subunit ribosomal RNA", at positions 30 to 507 of the family's 1533-position model. The record is from RNAcentral.